UGGGGAAUAUUGCACAAUGGGCGCAAGCCUGAUGCAGCCAUGCCGCGUGUGUGAAGAAGGCCUUCGGGUUGUAAAGCACUUUCAGCGGGGAGGAAGGCGUUAAGGUUAAUAACCUUGGCGAUUGACGUUACCCGCAGAAGAAGCACCGGCUAACUCCGUGCCAGCAGCCGCGGUAAUACGGAGGGUGCAAGCGUUAAUCGGAAUUACUGGGCGUAAAGCGCACGCAGGCGGUCUGUCACGUCGGAUGUGAAAUCCCCGGGCUCAACCUGGGAACUGCAUUCGAAACUGGCAGGCUAGAGUCUUGUAGAGGGGGGUAGAAUUCCAGGUGUAGCGGUGAAAUGCGUAGAGAUCUGGAGGAAUACCGGUGGCGAAGGCGGCCCCCUGGACAAAGACUGACGCUCAGGUGCGAAAGCGUGGGGAGCAAACAGG
This 429-nucleotide ribosomal RNA is filed under the name Chloroflexota bacterium. RNAcentral's name for it is "Chloroflexi bacterium partial 16S ribosomal RNA". It matches the Rfam family "Bacterial small subunit ribosomal RNA", at positions 355 to 776 of the family's 1533-position model. The record is from RNAcentral. Lineage: Bacteria; Bacillati; Chloroflexota.